This 709-nucleotide long non-coding RNA is filed under the name Anser brachyrhynchus (Pink-footed goose). RNAcentral's name for it is "lncRNA (ENSABRG00000008580.1)". Lineage: Eukaryota; Metazoa; Chordata; Aves; Anseriformes; Anatidae. The record is from RNAcentral.
GUUUGAUUGUUAAAUAUACAAAUUAUGUGAAGAUAAAAAAAAUCAUUAAAAUGCAAUUAUUUCAGCAAUGUAAGUUUAUGGCUAUAUAAGUACAUUAAAAGACCAACUUUGUAGGUCUUUAUGUGCUUAAUAAAACUGAAUAAUUUGCUAAAAUAAUCUUUGGUGGCAGUAGCAAGUAAAUUUUGUAUUUCCAUUUGACUUGAAGCAUAUUCCAGGUAUAUUAAAAAAAGAUUACUGCAUUUUAAACCAUAUGUCCCCAUAUUGGGUGUGAAGAACAACAGUGCUGGUGCAGGAAAAAAAAAAAAAAGAGAGAAUGAUGUGUGUAUAAUCUCUUCUUCUGCAUCCAGUAUUGCAGGUUGAAACUGUUGCCAGUGGAAAGUUGUUCAGCCAAAGAUGGAGAAGGGCAGGAAAGCCCCGAAGCACACCUUGUCAUCAGGUUGUUUGCAGCACUUCCUGCCUUCGCCCUUCCACAUCGCUGAGACACGUGAGAUGCAAACAGCCAACUGGAGGAGGAAGAGACAAAUGGAAAGUGAUGGAAAAGUGGAGGUACGUUAGUGCAGUAAGAAAAAACAUGCAAGGACCCAUGCUCCUCUUUAAAUUGAAAUGGGAUAAAAAUCUGCACAAUCAAACCUUCCUCUUUGCUUUUUCUCAAUGUGCUGACUGAGAAAUGGACAGUUCAGAUCCCCUCCCGAAGCCCCCGUGCUAAGCG